CCUUCGAUAGCUCAGUUGGUAGAGCGGUGGACUGUAGAUGAAAUCAAUUCAGGGUUGAUAUCCAUAGGUCGUUGGUUCAAAUCCGGCUCGAAGGA
RNAcentral lists this transfer RNA (95 nucleotides) under Musca domestica (house fly). It matches the Rfam family "tRNA". From Rfam's summary of the family: Transfer RNA (tRNA) molecules are approximately 80 nucleotides in length. Their secondary structure includes four short double-helical elements and three loops (D, anti-codon, and T loops). Lineage: Eukaryota; Metazoa; Arthropoda; Insecta; Diptera; Muscidae. The record is from Rfam by way of RNAcentral.